UGGGGAAUCUUGGACAAUGGGCGCAAGCCUGAUCCAGCCAUGCCGCGUGAGUGAAGAAGGCCUUCGGGUUGUAAAGCUCUUUUACCAGGGACGAUAAUGACGGUACCUGGAGAAUAAGCCCCGGCAAACUUCGUGCCAGCAGCCGCGGUAAUACGAAGGGGGCUAGCGUUGUUCGGAAUUACUGGGCGUAAAGCGCACGUAGGCGGAUUGUUAAGUCAGAGGUGAAAUCCCGGAGCUCAACUUCGGAACUGCCUUUGAUACUGGCAAUCUAGAGUCCGGAAGAGGUUAGUGGAAUUCCCAGUGUAGAGGUGAAAUUCGUAGAUAUUGGGAAGAACACCAGUGGCGAAGGCGGCUAACUGGUCCGGUACUGACGCUGAGGUGCGAGAGCAAGGGGAGCAAACAGGAUUAGAUACCCGUGUAGUCCCUGAGCGGGCUGGCAAGGCGCAU
Molecule: ribosomal RNA, 447 nt
Filed under: uncultured bacterium
Lineage: Bacteria
Description: bacterial SSU rRNA
Rfam family: Bacterial small subunit ribosomal RNA
Source: RNAcentral